RNAcentral lists this transfer RNA (74 nucleotides) under Neotoma lepida (desert woodrat). It matches the Rfam family "tRNA". Rfam says of the family: Transfer RNA (tRNA) molecules are approximately 80 nucleotides in length. Their secondary structure includes four short double-helical elements and three loops (D, anti-codon, and T loops). Lineage: Eukaryota; Metazoa; Chordata; Mammalia; Rodentia; Cricetidae. The record is from Rfam by way of RNAcentral.
GGAGAGGUGGCUCAGAGGUUAAGGGCACUGGACAGUUCUUCCAGAGGUCCUGAGUUCAAUUCCCAGCAUCCACA